Molecule: transfer RNA, 68 nt
Filed under: Myotis alcathoe
Lineage: Eukaryota; Metazoa; Chordata; Mammalia; Chiroptera; Vespertilionidae
Description: transfer RNA-Ile
Source: RNAcentral
GAAAUAUGUCUGACAAUAGAAUUACUUUGAUAGAGUAAAACAUAAGGGUUUAAGCCCCUUUAUUUCUA